CCACACGACUCUCGGCAACGGAUAUCUCGGCUCUCGCAUCGAUGAAGAACGUAGCGAAAUGCGAUACCUGGUGUGAAUUGCAGAAUCCCGCGAACCAUCGAGUCUUUGAACGCAAGUUGCGCCCGAGGCCACUUGGCCGAGGGCACGCCUGCCUGGGCGUCACGC
RNAcentral lists this ribosomal RNA (165 nucleotides) under Poa alpina. RNAcentral describes it as "5.8S ribosomal RNA". It matches the Rfam family "5.8S ribosomal RNA". Rfam says of the family: 5.8S ribosomal RNA (5.8S rRNA) is a component of the large subunit of the eukaryotic ribosome. It is transcribed by RNA polymerase I as part of the 45S precursor that also contains 18S and 28S rRNA. Functionally, it is thought that 5.8S rRNA may be involved in ribosome translocation. RNAcentral also lists the same sequence under 1 other name. The record is from RNAcentral. Lineage: Eukaryota; Viridiplantae; Streptophyta; Magnoliopsida; Poales; Poaceae.